UACUGCCACAGUACAACCUGGUGCCUCCACUAUAUCAUCCGGCACAGCCAUAGGGCCACCUGGUCCCUCCCUAGCACAAUUCAGUUCCUCUUCCAUGGGAUCCAAUUCCACCCAUAAUGGACCCCGACUAUAUUGAAUGGUACAAAAGACUAAACUCAUCUACCUUUGUAGGUGUAUCCUCUUUUGAAAAGAUCAAGUAUUCUUGGGGUA
RNAcentral lists this long non-coding RNA (210 nucleotides) under Carica papaya (papaya). RNAcentral describes it as "long non-coding RNA (CPAP_LNC003378)". The record is from RNAcentral. Lineage: Eukaryota; Viridiplantae; Streptophyta; Magnoliopsida; Brassicales; Caricaceae.